RNAcentral lists this ribosomal RNA (563 nucleotides) under uncultured bacterium. RNAcentral's name for it is "partial 16S ribosomal RNA". It matches the Rfam family "Bacterial small subunit ribosomal RNA", at positions 355 to 1375 of the family's 1533-position model. The record is from RNAcentral.
UGGGGAAUAUUGGACAAUGGGCGCAAGCCUGAUCCAGCCAUGCCGCGUGAGUGAUGAAGGCCUUAGGGUUGUAAAGCUCUUUCGCCGGUGAAGAUAAUGACGGUAACCGGAGAAGAAGCCCCGGCUAACUUCGUGCCAGCAGCCGCGGUAAUACGAAGGGGGCUAGCGUUGCUCGGAAUCACUGGGCGUAAAGCGCACGUAGGCGGAUCGUUAAGUCAGGGGUGAAAUCCUGGAGCUCAACUCCAGAACUGCCCUUGAUACUGGCGAUCUCGAGUUCGAGAGAGGUUGGUGGAACUCCGAGUGUAGAGGUGAAAUUCGUAGAUAUUCGGAAGAACACCAGUGGCGAAGGCGGCCAACUGGCUCGAUACUGACGCUGAGGUGCGAAAGCGUGGGGAGCAAAACAGGAUUAGAUACCCUGGUAGUCCACGCCGUAAAACGAUGGAUGCUAGCCGUUGGGGGGUUUACCUCUCAGUGGCGCAGCUAACGCCUUAAGCAUCCCGCCUGGGGAGUACGGUCGCAAGAUUAAAAACUUAAAGGAAUUGACGGGGUCAUAGCUGUUUCCU